This 271-nucleotide ribosomal RNA is filed under the name uncultured archaeon. RNAcentral's name for it is "partial 16S ribosomal RNA". It matches the Rfam family "Archaeal small subunit ribosomal RNA", at positions 477 to 747 of the family's 1478-position model. The record is from RNAcentral.
CAGCGCCACGAGUGGGGGUCACGAUUAUUGGGCCUAAAGCGUCCGUAGCCGGUUCAGCAAAUCCUUUGUGAAAUCGUUGGGCUCAACCCAACGGCGUGCAGGGGACACUACUGAACUAGGGACCGGGAGGGGUUGGAGGUAUUUCUGAGGGAGCGGUAAAAUGCUAUAAUCUCAGGAGGACCACCUGUGGCGAAGGCGUCCAACCAGAACGGAUCCGACGGUGAGGGACGAAAGCUAGGGGAGCAAUCCGGAUUAGAUACCCGAGUAGUCC